Molecule: ribosomal RNA, 492 nt
Filed under: uncultured bacterium
Lineage: Bacteria
Description: partial 16S ribosomal RNA
Rfam family: Bacterial small subunit ribosomal RNA
Source: RNAcentral
AGUGAACGCUGGCGGUGUGCCUAAUACAUGCAAGUCGAACGGCCGGACAGUAAGCUUUUUCCCUUACCGGUGGCGGGUGGCGGGUGGGUGAGGAAUACAUCAGAUUCUUAUUUUUCGGGGGGGAUAACGUGAGGACACUUCCGAUACUACCUAAUAUGUCCUACCGCUGAAUUCAAGAGUGCAUCAGACUUUUGCUGUCUCUAAUAGAUGGAGUCGCGGUAGAUAAUUGGGUGGGUAAGGUCCCACCAAGGCGACGAUCCGUAGUUGGUCCGAGAGGAUGAUCGGCCACACUGGAACUGAGACACGGUCCAGACUCCUACGGGAGGCAGCAGUAGGGAAUAUUCGGCAAUGGGCGCAAGCCUGACGGAGCAACGCCGCGUGAGUGAUGAAGGUCUUCGGAUCGUAAAACUCUGUUAUUAGGGAAGAAAAAAAGUAUAAGUAAAUAUGGACGUCUUGACGGUACCUAAUCAGAAAGCAACGGCUAACUACGUG